AUGGAGGCGCUGCGGCGGCCGGCGCUGCCCGAGGACGCGGUGCGCUACCGCCUGUUCGCGGCGGCGGCGGCGGGCCCGGGCGGCGAGGCGCUGCUGCGGCGCUGCGCUGAGCUGGCCCUGGUGCGCUUCGCCCCGCUCCUGGCCGCCUACGUGUGGCAGCGGCAGCCGUUCCGCCUGCGCUACGUGCCGGGCCGCGGCGAGAUCCCGGCACACUUGGGCGGCACCACGGAGUUCGGGGAUAACGUGGAGGAUGAGUGGUUCAUUGUGUACCUGCUGCGGGAGAUCACCAGAGAGUUCCCGGGGCUGGCAGCCAGUAUUGAUGACAACGAUGGAGAGUUUCUCUUGAUAGAAGCAGCUGAUUUUCUCCCAAAGUGGCUGAAUCCUGACAACAGUGAAAACAGGGUGUUCUUUUACAAAGGAGAGCUGCACAUCAUUGCGCCGGGGGAGCCCUGGGAGCAGGGCUGGGCCCUCUCUGCUCCCCGUGCCACGGUGCCGCAGGCGCUGGCUCUGUUAUCCACCCGCGCCGAGGAGUUCCUGGCUGCAGAGCCCAUCAGAGCUGCGCUCAAUAAACGCCUCCAUGGGUAUCCCGAGAAGAUCCAGGCCUCGCUGCACCGAGCCCGCUGCUUCCUCCCGGCCGGGAUCGCGGCCGUGCUGAGGCUGCGCCCGUCCCUGGUGGCUGCGGCCGUCCAGGCCUUCUACCUGCGGGAGCCGGGCGAUCUGGGGGCCUGCCGGCGCCCGUUCAGAGCCUUCCCUGCCGAGCAGCGAGUGAUGGCCCUGGUGACUUUCACUCGGUGUUUGUAUGCACAGCUGGUGCAGCAGCAGUUUGUUCCAGACAGACGCAGUGGAUACACCCUGCCCGCCCCAGCUCAUCCUCAGUACAGAGCCUACGAGCUGGGCAUGAAGCUGGCUCAUGGCUUUGAAAUUUUGUGCUCCAAGAGCAGCAAAGUGGCUCCUGAUGCCAAGAGAAACGUGUUAAGGGGUCCUCUGUGGGAGAGAUUCCUCAGGAGCUUGAAGGAGAAGGAUUAUUUCAAGGGAGAAAUGGAAGGAUCAGCCAAGUACCUGGAGCUGUUGCACAUGGCAGAAGAUCACUUCCAGCAAUCUGUUGCAGUGCCAGAAAGCUGUGAUGAAGUGAGCCCAGGUGAUGAAAUCCUGGCACUACUACAGACAACCCCCAUUGAUCUGAAGGAAUUGGAGAGAGAAGCAGCUUGUCUUCCUGCAGAGGAUGAUGACAGCUGGCUGGAUAUUACACCAGGUGCUCUGGAUCAGAUGCUGAAGGAGACAAGAAAUGAGUCCCUUCCUUCCCCAAAUGAGGAGGAGCAAAACUAUGACUUGGAAACAGUUGCUGAGAGCAUGAAGGCUUUUGUGUCCAAAGUGUCCACGCACGAAGGAGCAGAAAUGCCAUGGUCAUCUGAUGAAUCCCAAGUUACCUUUGAUGUGGAUUCUUUUACAAAAGCUCUGGACAGAAUUUUAGGGGCAGACUCAGAGGAGCUGGAUUCUGAUGAUGUGGAUGAGGAGGAGGAGUUUGGUUUCUCAGCUGAGGAUGAUGAAGAGCUGGAUGCUGGGAAUGGAAGGCAGGAGCAGAAGGUGUCUCCUGAGGAGCUCGUGGGCAGUCUCAAGGCGUACAUGGAGGAGAUGGACCGUGAGCUGGCACAGAGCAACGUUGGGAAAAGUUUCAGCAGCCACAAGAGAGGGGCAAGUUCUGUUGGAGCAGCCCCAUGUGAGAGUGCUGGCCCUGACUGUGGAGCUGAGGCUGCUGAGCUGGCAGCCCUGGAUGUGGACACGAACCUGGUGGCAAACCUGCUCGAGUCCUACAGUGCCCAGGCUGGCCUGGCAGGGCCCACCUCGAGCAUUUUACAGAGCCUGGGGGUGAAUUUACCUGAGAGCUCAGAGCUCACUGGCAGCUGAGCAAGGCAGGGAGAGCCUUGGCACCAGACAUGGCUGCUGGGGAGAUGGAGCACAGACACACGAGCAGGAUGGGGGAGAAGAGGCCAAAGCAGUUCAGGGAGAGCACUGGCAGGUUGGACAGGGAUUAGAGAUGGACAGCAAGAGCUGGGAAGUGUGAAGAAGGUUCUGCUAAAUUUCAAGGAAUUUGGACUGCUGAGAGGUGAGAGACUCAGACAAAUCUGUGGUGGAAAAAUGGGGUUAACAGAGGCUUUUUUAAUUGAGACAAGGCUAAUGAGCAGUUGGUAGUGGAAAGCAGAGGUACUUGAACCUUGGGAAGGGUUGGUGUUUGACCAGGGAAGGUAAUUUACUCUGAAAAUACAUAAAAUUCUCUACUGAUGAGUAGGUAGAUCAAGUUUAGAUACUUUAAAACAUAAUUGAGUUGAAGAACAUGAUCACAUUGAACUGCUGUGUGGCCUGUGCUAUAGAAAAGGUCCAAAUAGAUGGAAGGGCUCCCUUAGUGCAUGAGGAGAACUCCUAAGCUGGGUUCAGAACAAAGCUGCUCUUUUGCAAACACUCCAGCUGCUGUUGCUGCUUGGAUAAUCUGACUUUUCCAUCAGUGGGGCUGGGAUUUCUCUGGGGCUCUGCUCAUCCCAACUCUUUCCAUUUGUUCAGCAGCUUCCCAGGGGAGCCCUGCAAGGCUCUGGGAGUGCUCCCAGGAGAGUUUGCCAUGGCAGAAGAAGCAUUUCCAUGCUGCCUCUUCCACUGCUUUGAGGCCAACGCUGCCAGAUGGAAAUUGCCAAGGGCACGAGGCUGGCAAGUGAAGAGCAGAGCUGCUGUGAAGGGAGAGCUCAGUUCAUUCAGAGAGAUCACACAGGUCACUUGAGUGCAGGUAGGAAGCAGAAAAUGAGAGAUUUCCAGUAAAACUUUUGUAGUUUGGUGGGGGAAAGGAGUCGUGAUACCCAGUGGCUGCAGGGAUGGUGAUCUAAAUUAGUUCUGAGCAGAUUUCCCUUUUUUUUUUAAUUGGUGAGGGUUAUUAACCUUACCUGCAGUUGUAAGGCCAAACAGUUUUGGAAUCUAUUCUAGUUUAAUCUAGCUGUCCUCCAUGGUGCAUACUCACAGCAGCCAUAUUUAACUAUCAUAUGAUGUGUGAAUUUGCUUGUGUCCCUAUCCCAAAUGUCAUCCUUUCUGGGUUUUCAGCUUCUUUUUAACAUGCUAGUAAAUCUUCUGUGACCCUCUGCAGUAUUUCCAUGGGGAAACCCACUGAAGAGCACAAGCUAAAGGAUGCUACCUCCAGCUGAGUACAGGGAGCAGUGGGAAAGGAUGUUAUAUCAGCAUUUUCUGUCCCUGUGCUGAUACUGUUCUCCCUGGGAGGGAGCUGGGAAAUCCCUAUUUCUGCUGCUGUGCUCUUCCUGGUGUUUGUCACAGCUGAUGCCAACCCCAGUUUUCCCCCUGUAAUGAUGAUUCUGGACAUCUCUGAGUGUACCUGCUGGCCUUGGAAAUGCCACUGAUGGUUAUUGAGGAGAAGGCAAGUCCCACCAUUUCUGUGUGGGAACGGAAACGUGUGGCUGUCCCUCAGUGCAGCUCUUUUGGUGACAGCGGUCGGUGGCCAUUCCUGGUGCUGUUCUGUUAUCAUUUUUCCUUAUAGCAUUCUAUUUUAUUCCCUUCACACUUCCCACCCUUUCCAAUUCCUCACUUCUUACCCAGCACUGCCCCAAUGGUCCCUGGGUGCAGCUCCUUUAGAGAACAGGGCCCGUCCCAACAGGCGGCUGCUGCAGCCAGGGCAGGGGCAGGGCAAGGCACAUCACAACACUGGUGGUGCUCAGAGAGUGUUGGUUUGUGCAGUUCAGGCAGAUCAAAUGAAUCCCAAUUGUCAGAGAUUUCCAGCAUCUGCUACUUGGCCCCUUUUUUCCUGCAUGGAUUUGACAGUUCUUCCUUUCCUCCCACAGAGCUGCAAAGCAAAAUGCCCACCUGCCCCAUGGCCAUCCCCACCACCUUGUCUCUCUUUCUCUGCCCUUUACUUUGCAGCACUUCCUCCCUCCUCCUCCUGUCCCUGCCAGCUCCAGCAAAGCCAUUUCCCCCACUGGCACCAGCUGCCUCCUGUCCCUCGCUCCCAUUUUGCCCACUCUGAACUCCUGGAGCCGCCUGCCCGCGGAGCCGCAGCCGCCGUGGGGCCAGGCAAUGGUGCAGGGAAUGCUGGCAGGGAUUCUUGGGCUGGGCUGGGCCAGGCCAGGUGCCUGGGGCCAGCUCUGAGCCUCUGCUCCUGCCCCUGGGCAGGCAACAGAACACAGCAGGAAAGGCUCGGGGCUCUCAAGAAAGGCAGCCAGAGAUCUCUCAACCAUCAUGGGCAGAAGAGGCCCGGAGUGGGGAAAUUAAAUUUCAACGAAUUUAUUAUCAAACAAAUCAGAACAAGGGAAUGAGAUGUUCCCCAAAUCCUAAAAAUGCACCUUCUUCACACUGUUCUCUCCUUCCUGGGCUUCACUUUGUCCCCAGUUCACUACUCCCUCCUCCCCACACAGUGGCACAGAAGGAUGGAGGUUACAGUCACGUCAUGUCACUGCUUCUCCCUCCGAGAGACAAAUCCUUGUCCUGCUCCAGCCUGGGAUUCCUCCCACAGAAGGACAGUCAGAUCCUUCACAGCAGACAAACAGACAGACAGACAACAGGCUAUUCUCCACAGUCAGGUGCCUGAUGCCAAAAGUGGGAUUCCUGCUUAGCACAUGUCAGCGGUUCUUCCUCCUCUUCCAAAAACAGUCCAAAAGUGCCACAUUCUGGCCACUUGGUGAUGAUCUCCAGGAGCCUAGGCACAAUUGGAUUUCCCACUGGAGCUCGUUGUGUCGUGAGGGCAAUGCAGUCACUGCAGGCAGCA
Melospiza georgiana is the source of this 4750-nucleotide RNA transcript. It is a transcript of the gene named protein ecdysoneless homolog, with no coding region annotated. The record is from RefSeq and is a predicted model, not a curated record. Lineage: Eukaryota; Metazoa; Chordata; Aves; Passeriformes; Passerellidae. The transcript is spliced from 15 exons.